AAGCGGAUUGCGUUGGAUUGGUGGGCGCUUGUGUGUUCAGCCUUCGGGUGCAUUGACACAAGUGCUUAUCCGCCGUGAGUUCUCGGGGGUCGAUUUUGGAUCUCUGGGGACUGAGGGCUCCCCUUCAUGGGUGAGGACGGCGGAGUGACGACGCGAUACGACCCGUCUUGAAACACGGACCAAGGAGUCUAGCGCGGGUGCGAGUCGGAGGGUGCAAGCCCGUGGGCGAAGUGAAAGCGAGUUUUAAAAACUAGCAGUUUGGGGCGGCAUAAGAUCGUUGAUCUUAAGACCGACCCAGAGCAGUUGCGCUGGGACCCGAAAGAUGGUGAACUAUGCCGGAGUAGGGCAAAGCCAGAGGAAACUCUGGUGGAGGCUCGUAGCGGUGCUGACGUGCAAAUCGCUCGUCGAACUUGGGUAUAGGGGCGAAAGACUAAUCGAACCAUCUAGUAGCUGGUUCCCUCCGAAGUUUCUCUCAGGAUAGCGGGCCGACAAGUUGUUUUGUGCGGUAAAGCGAAUGAUUAGCGCAUUUCGGGGGCGUUUAGCCUUCGGGCGAUUCUCAAACUUUCAAUGCGCAAGGGUGCCGCUGCUUAAUUGAGCGGUACCGGUAAAAACGUCGGCCCUGUGGGCCACUUUUGGUAAGCAGAACUGGCGAUACGGGAUGAACCGUAAGCAAGGUUAAGGCGCCAAACUGCCCGCUUAUAGACCCCACAAAAGGUGUUGAUUCAUCGAGACAGCAGGACGGUGGCCAUGGAAGUCGGAAUCCGCCAAGGAGUGUGUAAAAACUCACCUGCCGAAUGAAUUAGCCCUGAAAAUGGAUGGCGCUGAAGCGGGCGGCCGACACCUUGCCGUCUGAACAAGAAUUUCAGAUGAGUAGGAGGGCGUGGCGGCCGUGUCGAAGCGCGCGUGCAGACGCGUGUGGAACAGCCGCUAGUGCAGAUCUUGGUGGUAGUAGCAAGUAUUCAAGCGAGAUCCUUGAAGGGCGAAGUGGGGAAGGGUUUCACGCGAACAUUGAUUGGGCGUGAGUGAGUCGUUCCUAAGCCGAGUGGCAAUUGCUAAUUAACGGCGAAAGGGAAGCGGGUUGACAUUCCCGCACACGGAUGUGGAGGCGGCGACGCAUUAUUGGGGCGAACACGCUGGCGGUGGCGCUGGGCAGAGUUGUCUUUUCUGUUUGACCGCUUGCGCACGCGGUGUGGAAUCCGCUUGUCGGGAGAAACACGCGUGUACGGGCAGAGCGCUGGGGCUUUUCCAGCGUCCAGCUCGCCACCGACGGCCCUUGAAACUUUGCCUGCUGAUAUAAGAUCCACGCCGUGGCGUACCGAUCACCGCAUCAGGUCCCCAAGGUGAACAGCCUCUGCUCAAUAUGAAAAAUGCAGGUAAGGGAAGUCGGCAAAUUAGACCCGUAACUUUGGGAAAAGGGUUGGCUCUAGUGCUGCGUGGGAGUGGUUGUCGGACGUUGGCGUUUUUGGUGUGGCGGCUUGGCGCGGAUCCCCCUCGGGGGAUCUGUUCCGGGCUGCUACGCUGAUUUCACCGCGGCCGACGACGCCCACAGCAUGCAGCAGACUAGAACUGCAACGGGCAAAGGGAAUCCGACUGUUUAAUUAAAACAAA
Molecule: ribosomal RNA, 1608 nt
Filed under: Ahnfeltiopsis complicata
Lineage: Eukaryota; Rhodophyta; Florideophyceae; Gigartinales; Phyllophoraceae
Description: LSU rRNA
Rfam family: Eukaryotic large subunit ribosomal RNA
Source: RNAcentral